Prunus persica (peach) is the source of this 144-nucleotide microRNA precursor. It matches the Rfam family "mir-166 microRNA precursor family". Rfam says of the family: This family represents the plant microRNA (miRNA) precursor mir-166. Animal miRNAs are transcribed as ~70nt precursors and subsequently processed by the Dicer enzyme to give a ~22nt product. The record is from Rfam. NCBI's taxonomy places the organism in Eukaryota, Viridiplantae, Streptophyta, Magnoliopsida, Rosales, Rosaceae.
UUUGAGGGGAAUGUUGUCUGGCUCGAGGACACUUUUCCUUGAUCUGUAUUUCUUAUAGAUCAACCUGUAUAUUUAUAUCUAGGUAUACAUAUAUAUGGCUUUUGGUGAAUUAGUGUCGUCGGACCAGGCUUCAUUCCCCCCAAU